UAACGCGUGGGAACCGUGCCCUAUACAGGGGGAGUAACAGCUGGAAACGGUUGCUAAUACCGCAUAAGCGCACAGAAUCGCAUGAUUCAGUGUGAAAAGCCCUGGCAGUAUAGGAUGGUCCCGCGUCUGAUUAGCUGGUUGGUGAGGUAACGGCUCACCAAGGCGACGAUCAGUAGCCGGCUUGAGAGAGUGAACGGCCACAUUGGGACUGAGACACGGCCCAA
Molecule: ribosomal RNA, 224 nt
Filed under: uncultured bacterium
Lineage: Bacteria
Description: partial 16S ribosomal RNA
Rfam family: Bacterial small subunit ribosomal RNA
Source: RNAcentral